ACGUUGUGUGCUGAGGUAGUUCAUGUGUCCUUUUUGAACCAUAGUACACACAGUUAAGAUUUUAUUGAUGCAGUUUCUUUCCAGAAGUUUGCAUAGUGUAUUAUUAAUAUUCUGCAAGGUCAUAACACAAUCUGAAGCAACUGUAAUGCAAUAAUUGUAAUAUUGGUAUUUUGUAGAUGUAGUUACAUCUGUAAAUUUGGUGUUACCAAAUGCUAUUGCAUUUGUCUCACAGGUUUGGAUUUCAGACAGUGCCAAAGCUAUGUAAAAGGCGGUGUGCAACGUUGAAGUUCUCCUUCAUGAGUAUUUACAUCAUUCUCUUGAAUAGAAAAUUAGAAAGUGAAUUUUUUGACAGUUUAAGAACGCAUAUGAAAUUAUUGCAGUGGCAGGAGAGAAAACAGAAAUAAUCAAGGGCUCAUCCCCAAAAAGUUUUUUUAAACAGAUUAAUUUUCAUUAAAUGAUGGGUUUUUUUGUUGUUUUUCAGAAAGCUGUGCCAAAGAAGACUUACUCAGAUGACAUCACCUUUGGACUACUAAUGCUACCCACCCACUCUACAAGGCACAAUGUAUUUCUAGGUAAUUUAACAAAUGUAGGGAGAAGCCCAUUCUUUCAUUUGCAAAUUCUUCUGGAAAUCUAUUUGGAUCUUGUAUACUGAACAUCAGUGAAACUAGUUUGGAAUUUAUUUUCUGCUAAAGAGGAUACCUCUAACUCCACAUUGUUCUUCACGGGAGCCAGGUUUCAUCCCUAAACCUCAUACUUCAACAAGUCCCAAAGUGUAAAAGGUAAAACUGUUCUUAUAAUUGAUAAGGUUUCCAUGGCUUUCAGUUAUCAACACUGAUGGGCUGAG
Molecule: long non-coding RNA, 844 nt
Filed under: Junco hyemalis (dark-eyed junco)
Lineage: Eukaryota; Metazoa; Chordata; Aves; Passeriformes; Passerellidae
Description: lncRNA (ENSJHYG00000007701.1)
Source: RNAcentral